Molecule: unclassified non-coding RNA, 244 nt
Filed under: rhizosphere metagenome
Description: partial ribosomal RNA internal transcribed spacer region
Source: RNAcentral
GUAGGUGAACCUGCGGAAGGAUCAUUACCGAGAGAGGGGCUCCGUGCUCCGGGGGGCUUCGGCCUCCGACUCUUCACCCUAUGUCUACCUACCUUUGUUGCUUUGGCGGACCCACGUCAUCUCCAGGCUUCACGGCCGGGGUUGGUGUGCGCCCGUCGGAGGCCCAUUAUCUUCUGUUUAUCAGUGACGUCCGAGUAAAAAGCGCAAAUGAUUAAAACUUUCAACAACGGAUCUCUUGGUUCUG